This 415-nucleotide ribosomal RNA is filed under the name Sigapatella novaezelandiae. Its description in RNAcentral is "eukaryotic LSU rRNA". The record is from RNAcentral. Lineage: Eukaryota; Metazoa; Mollusca; Gastropoda; Littorinimorpha; Calyptraeidae.
AAACCGCCUAGAGGUAAACGGGUGGAUCCGCAAAGUCGGCCCGCGGGAUUCAGCUCGGAAGGCUUCGUGCCCGGCCGGUGGGUAAGGGAUCUUAUCGACCCUCCUGCCACGGGAAUCGAGUCGGCCGUGUGCACUUUCCGCGGGCAGAGCGCCACGACCGGUUCUCGGGCGGUCAGAAGGCGGCGGGGAUGGUAGGCGGGCGCCUCGGCGCUCGCUGGUAUAGCCCCGCCUGUCCCGAUCCGCUCUGGGGACCGAGGAGCCGCCGUCGGCGUAGGCCGCCUCGCUCUCCUGGGAUGUUCGACUGGCAGAGACUGGGCAACCGUGUCUGCUGACCGCUUCCCGGGAUGGACGGGGUGGGCCCGCCGGCACAGGGUCGGUGGCGAAUCGGUCGGCCCUCCACCCGACCCGUCUUGAA